UAGGGAAUCUUCCACAAUGGACGCAAGUCUGAUGGAGCAACGCCGCGUGAGUGAAGAAGGUUUUCGGAUCGUAAAGCUCUGUUGUUGGUGAAGAAGGAUAGAGGUAGUAACUGGCCUUUAUUUGACGGUAAUCAACCAGAAAGUCACGGCUAACUACGUGCCAGCAGCCGCGGUAAUACGUAGGUGGCAAGCGUUGUCCGGAUUUAUUGGGCGUAAAGCGAGCGCAGGCGGAAGAAUAAGUCUGAUGUGAAAGCCCUCGGCUUAACCGAGGAACUGCAUCGGAAACUGUUUUUCUUGAGUGCAGAAGAGGAGAGUGGAAUUCCAUGUGUAGCGGUGGAAUGCGUAGAUAUAUGGAAGAACACCAGUGCGAAGGCGACUCUCUGGUCUGCAACUGACGCUGAGGCUCGAAAGCAUGGGUAGCGAACAGG
Molecule: ribosomal RNA, 428 nt
Filed under: Bacillota bacterium
Lineage: Bacteria; Bacillati; Bacillota
Description: Firmicutes bacterium partial 16S ribosomal RNA
Rfam family: Bacterial small subunit ribosomal RNA
Source: RNAcentral